ACCUUCCCGUAGGCGGGGUCCCUCCCCUCCCAGCUCGGGCCGACAGCGUCGUCACCAGCUUUUAUGGGGCACGUGGCGGCUGAUGCACAGUAAAUAGAAGUGACUCUCCCCUACGAAGGCGGGGACCGCACUUUAUGAGACCAAACAAACUGCCCGAGCGAAGCCCUUGGAGCUCUAAAUACUUGGCAGCAAAAUCCCUCCUGAGGCUUCUAGCUGGGCAAUCCCUCCUUAGUGUGGGCUGGGGCUGCCUCCUUCUGACAGAACACUUAGAAGAAAUUCUCACCUGAAAACCCCACCUGAGACAUGUGGAAGUGCCCCGCCCUGAAGGCCGCCCCCCAUUCUUCCCUGCUGAGAUGAAGCACUGCCUCUCACCCUGAUGGGGCCACACCAGUCCUUCCUUCCCAUCCUCGCGGCACCAAAGAAACCAAAACCCACGCCGAAGUAUCAGAAACGUGUAUUCUUUUUCUUUUAAUAGUAAACCUCUUUA
This 487-nucleotide long non-coding RNA is filed under the name Homo sapiens (human). RNAcentral's name for it is "HSALNT0015852". Lineage: Eukaryota; Metazoa; Chordata; Mammalia; Primates; Hominidae. The record is from RNAcentral.